AUGAACGCUGGCGGCGUGCUUAACACAUGCAAGUCGAACGGGAAACCUUUUAUUGAAGCUUCGGCAGAUUUAGCUGGUUUCUAGUGGCGGACGGGUGAGUAACGCGUGGGUAACCUGCCUUAUACAGGGGGAUAACAGUCAGAAAUGGCUGCUAAUACCGCAUAAGCGCACAGAGCUGCAUGGCUCAGUGUGAAAAACUCCGGUGGUAUAAGAUGGACCCGCGUUGGAUUAGCUGGUUGGUGGGGUAACGGCCCACCAAGGCGACGAUCCAUAGCCGGCCUGAGAGGGUGAACGGCCACAUUGGGACUGAGACACGGCCCAGACUCCUACGGGAGGCAGCAGUGGGGAAUAUUGCACAAUGGGGCAAACCCUGAUGCAGCGACGCCGCGUGAAGGAAGAAGUAUCUCGGUAUGUAAACUUCUAUCAGCAGGGAAGAUAAUGACGGUACCUGACUAAGAAGCCCCGGCUAACUACGUG
RNAcentral lists this ribosomal RNA (477 nucleotides) under uncultured bacterium. RNAcentral describes it as "partial 16S ribosomal RNA". It matches the Rfam family "Bacterial small subunit ribosomal RNA", at positions 29 to 507 of the family's 1533-position model. The record is from RNAcentral.